Molecule: ribosomal RNA, 390 nt
Filed under: Coxiella endosymbiont of Rhipicephalus sanguineus
Lineage: Bacteria; Pseudomonadati; Pseudomonadota; Gammaproteobacteria; Legionellales; Coxiellaceae
Also listed under: 1 other name
Description: bacterial LSU rRNA
Rfam family: Bacterial large subunit ribosomal RNA
Source: RNAcentral
UGUGUGCUGAAUUCAUAGGCACAUAAGGCGAACCUGGGGAACUGAAACAUCUAAGUACCCAGAGGAAAAGAAAUCAACCGAGAUUCCGUCAGUAGUGGCGAGCGAAAGCGGAACAGCCCAGUUACUAAAUCAUUAUUGGCUUUAGCAGAAUGUUCUGGAAAGUUCAGCUAUAGUGGGUGAUAGCCCCGUAUGUAAAAGGGCUAAUAAUGUGUGUAACGAUGAGUAGGUCGGGACACGUGAAAUCUUGACUGAAUAUGGGGGGACCAUCCUCCAAGGCUAAAUACUCCUUACUGACCGAUAGCGAACUAGUACCGUGAGGGAAAGGUGAAAAGAACCCCGGCAAGGGGAGUGAAAUAGAACCUGAAACCGUAUGCGUACAAGCAGUCAAAG